This 4608-nucleotide long non-coding RNA is filed under the name Homo sapiens (human). RNAcentral's name for it is "HOXB associated long intergenic non-coding RNA (HOXBLINC)". Lineage: Eukaryota; Metazoa; Chordata; Mammalia; Primates; Hominidae. The record is from RNAcentral.
GGGCGGUGGGGGAGGGGGCUGUAUGUGUGUGAAGACGGACGAGGGAGCCUGGGAUGCUGGAGGUAAGGAAGACUUGUGGGUUGCAGAAGUGGGGGAGCAGAAAUGGGCAGCGAAGAGGCAGAUAUCUGGGGAAGGGAAACUGAGGAAGGAAAAAUCCCUUCUCCAAAAAGGGCGAGACUGGUGGUGGUGGUGGUGAGUUGUAGAAAAGACAGCGCUUAAGGGUGUGGUGAACCCUCUGAGCAAUUUUCUCUUCCAAAGAUAAUCUUUGAGUCACCAUAUUAAAUUUAAUUAAAACCUUCCUAGCCACACACAUUUUAGAAAUUCAAUUAAAUUACCCCCACGUCUUUGUAGGACUUCUGGCAGGGCCAAAGAAUACUUCCAAUGUGAAGGUUUGAUUUUCACCAACAUCAACUCACUCUGCUUGCCCUAAAGGGGUCAAACUACUGGCUCUUUCAAUCCUCCACCCCUGGGAGAGGCAGGCCUGUUUUCAAGAACCCUUAACCCCCAGGCUGUGUCAGGAAGGUGGGGUCCAUGAGCAUGGGCCAACACUGGAGCCUUUCCAAACUCUCAUUCCUCUCUCCAAAUUGCUCCAGUUUAAGAACUUGCCUACUGAAAGAUUAGCUUGUUAAUUCUCUCACUCUCUCCCAAGCCUCCAUUUGUGUGUUCAUCUUGACUCCUUCUCUUCCUAUUUGGAUGAGGGAGGAGAAAUGCAAAGGAAAAAUACCAAAUGGCCUCACGGAGAUCUUUUUUACGGGAGUUGAAACAGACAACCUGAAAUGAACUUUGAAUCCAUACAUUAAACUUAGCUCAUGAGCAAAUGCCUAGAGAGACUCAGUAAUUAUAACACUGGGGCAUAUGUCUAUUUUGGGUCUUUAAAUGACUGUUGUAUUAUGAGAUGUCAUUAUCUGCUCUUCCAAGCAUUUACUAUAGGAGGUACACUGUGGGCGUUUUUCCUUCCAGGAUGGAGAUAACCUGAGAGUUUCUGUAAAGAUGCCUUUUGAAACAUGGCCAGAAGAGACAAAGGUUUAAUAUCAAAUUUCAAAUAGAUUUAACCCAGGGUUUUGACUAAACCAAUUGGGUGAAGGUCCCUAUUUCUGCUUAGUCCUUAGGUGAGUUUCUCUGCAGUGUCAGGCCAGGAAGGAAUUCCUGGAGUCCUGAAGAGACAGAUGUCAAAGCCUGAACUGAAGAAUCCAUCUCCUUCUGUUCCAGCACAGAACGUUAGCAAAUUUAGGUAUAGACUGGAGCAGCCCAAGGUCCUGGGCUAGAAGGACCAGGAUGGGGAAGAAGUGGCCUCUGCCAUUCUGGACCAAGCUGGGUGCCUUGGGGAGUUCUUUCUUGACCUCUCCGUACUAGGAGGAUACCACCCUACCAACUAGGCUGGAGCCCUGUUUCAGUCUGUAGACUUGAAUUGGGAGGAAAGGGAGUCACCUGACCCACCUCUGCAGGACCCUAGGAAGCUGGAGAAAGGGAGAAGUGUGUUGUAGGCAAUCCACCAGAUUCUAAUCCUGGAGAGACAAACCCAAGAAAAUCUCACUAUUUUAAAUGCCUUCUUGAUCUGCUCCUGAACCUCCUUGUGUGGGUGAUGGGGGUAGGCAAAAGUGUUACUGUAUUGAUGAGAACGAUUCUUCGGGGGGAGGGGGAAGCUAUUGUUUUGUAUUUAAAGGACAGUUAAAGCUCUGAAAGUUAUGUCGCCGGCUUUGACCAGCCCAGCCCAGCACCUCUCUCAGGGUUCUAUCUUCCCCAAACCUGCUGGGUUGUGUGGACCAAAAUCUUGGCCCCAAGAGGUGGAGUGGUCAUUUCUAGGCCCUGGAGCUUCCAAAGCUUUUGUAGAAAUGAGGAUAUCUCUGACACUUGGGGGAGCAAAUAAAGCAGAUGGAGUGUGCAAUGGGGUGGGGAUCCGGGCCCUGGCCAUACAGGCAUUUAGGGGUAAGGUUCAGGGAAGGGGCCUCUUGCUCAGGCCUGCUCUCUGGGGCCCAGGUGCCCAAAGCCAUGCUUUCAGUUUUCCCCGUGCCAGCCUCAUUCUCAGGCCUCAAAAGGAUCCCACAUGAAACCCCACACUCUCUCUGGAACCCGAGCUGACAAAAUAUGGGAAUGAUGGAAAAUCAAAACAGGGGCGUGGCCGACUGACUCCUAUCCGAAUGGGACUUUUUUCGGGUGGGGGUUGGAUGAAGAGAAGAGAAGGCUCUGGCGAAAAGUCGAGCUGGAGAGGAUGAGCUGAAUCAAAUUUCUGCUCUGUCAUUUUUUUCCCAAGUAAUGACCUACGCAAAAUUCAAUAUGACCCAGCGAACUGCGCGAGCAUAUUAUAGUAACUGCCUGCUCGUGGGGGAGGCUGGGAGAGAGGUGAACCGCAGGUCACGGCGUCUAAAAAUUAUUAAAAUGUUUGAGAGCCUCGUGACGCGCCUAGCUGUUUAACAAAGACUGCCAAAGUAUGAGAUUAACACGAAAACUUGCGCUUCCAAAACAAAAACACACCAAAAAAAAAAGUCACGUUCCGGCUUCUGAGGGAGCCCGUGGCUGUGUCCGCCGCCGCGGUCCGGUUUUCCGGACACACAAUAGUGGACAGGAGAGAGCUCAGCUGUUGCCCGGCGCGUCCGCGGGCGGCUCGGCGGCCGGCGGGGCUGGGGAGCCUCCCGGUGAGUACCCUCGCCCGCGCCCCCUCUGGGCCUUUCUCUCCUCCGCGCCGCCGCCGCCGGUGCGCAGGCCGGCUGGGGACUCGCCUCCGCUCGGGCCUUCGGUUUCGCUCCCUCGCUGAGUCCCUUCUCCCCGCCAACAAAAGGUGAUGAUUCCUAGCGGACUGGGCACGCCUGGACGGCGGAGGGUGGCUGGGAGGGGCGAGGUCACGCUAGCAACCUGUGGCUGCCAGGAGAAGGCGGCUGGGAAGCCACGGAAAGACCCGGGAGCGCAGGGGAGGUGGCUCAGCUCGCGCGCAGCCCCUGCUCUUAUUUUACUAUUAUGCGUGUUGCUGUUCGUAUCCUUCUGGGCGGUGAAGGGGAGAGGCAGCCUCCCGCUCCGGUGAAACCCGUCCUGGGAGUCGCCCAUAAACCCUGUUCUCCAUCUCAGGCGGCUGGAGGGGUGAGGGGGGUGCGGCGCCUUGGUGGGAUUGGCAGGUGGUGACUUCCAGGGCGCAGAGGAGAAAAAUCUCUGCUCUUGGGCGCCAGGAUCAAGGAUACCCAAACCCGCGGUGGCUCUGCCGCCUGUUCCUCUCUCUUGGGGUGCUGGGGCACCUGGGCCGCAUCCCUUGUGAAGUGUAGAGCAGCAGAGAGGCCCGGCCGCCGGCCCAGCGGCCCUCCCAAACUUCCGAAAUGCCGACGGGUUGGACGGGUUUCCGAGAGCUGGCGAGUUGAGAAGGACAGGAGGUAUGGGGUGGGGGAGGGGCCUGGACCGUUGGAGUGGGUCCUGGAGACCCUAAGUGGCCUAUGACAAGAUUUGGAAAGGUCCCUGGUUGACGCUAGGGAGCUGGUGGGGAUCCUAGCAGCGCAUUUUGUCUGUGGGCCCUGGGCCAGACUCUAGUCUCCCUGAGUGCCCAGAUGGGGGUCUGAGAUUACCUAUUGGACCCUCUCUUGGCAAAGACAACCAUAGUGUGAUAGUUUGCUUUUUUCUCCCAAAUAUGUGUGAGUUCAGCCUGUCUGGGAGAAUGUUGAUGUUAGAAAUCAGGCCCAGAGGCCAACAUUGGCAAUUCCUAGAUUUAAGAUUAAAAGAAAAUCAGAGGGUCUCUGGACCUAGUUGUGGGCAGGUGGGAACUCUCCUCCUACCCACCUGCAAGGUCCCAGGACUGGGCAUAGGCAGAGAUCUCUGGAGUGUUGCAGUUAGAGGGUUGUUUUUGUGUUGUUCCUGUAUUUGUUAAUGAAAUUGAUAUUAUUUUGACUUCCUCACUAAAGAUGCAAGUAUUUCUCAGACCUAGGGAGUUGAGUAGGGAGUCUGGGUGGGGUGGAGGCUUUUUCUAUGCACAUUUUCCCUUACUCUGUCACAGCUUUCACAGUCUCAGUUCCCUCCAGCCCAAUCCCCAGACUCUCAGCUUAGUAAAUUCACGGCUUCUGGGAGCUUCAGAAAGUUGGUUCGUAAACCCCAGAUGCCCAUUUUGGCCCUACCACCAGCAACCCAAGCAGGUGGCUAGGCGAGUUCAUAUGUGUUUAGAAGGAAAGGACCCGUCUGGGGCUAGGAAGGUGGGGAAAUGGGGUUCCUCCCCACACCUCCCCGGGAUAGACCCUCUCUCCUGGCUCCCAGGAUGUGUGAGAGGCUGGGAGGGGCCCUAUAUCAUCUGGCUGCAUCUUUUAUGGUUCCUCAUUGCCCUUCAUUCGGAAAUGAAACGCCUUUGAUCUUUUCUCAGGUUGUAAACGGAAUUGCCCGUCAUUAAAUAUCCGGGGCCCCAUCUGCUUGGUCUCCCAGCAUUUUUCUUUACAGCUGUUUCUCUCUCUUUUUACCACUGAAUUUUUCCAAAAGGACUUUUAUUACACCACCUUCACACCCAGCCGCCUCUUCCUCCUCCCUUCGCUGAGAGGCGCUUUGGAAAAUAUCUAGAUAUUCGUUUGAUCACAAACUAAAGGCUUGGAGGGGCACGGAGGAGCCGAUUGGGGUUUUGUUUUUUCUAAAAAAAAAAAAAAAAAAAAA